This 769-nucleotide ribosomal RNA is filed under the name Geobacillus kaustophilus. Its description in RNAcentral is "bacterial SSU rRNA". It matches the Rfam family "Bacterial small subunit ribosomal RNA", at positions 47 to 796 of the family's 1533-position model. Lineage: Bacteria; Bacillati; Bacillota; Bacilli; Caryophanales; Anoxybacillaceae. The record is from RNAcentral.
CUAUAAUGCAGUCGAGCGGACCAGGUUCGGGAGCUUGCUCUGGUUUGGUCAGCGGCGGACGGGUGAGUAACACGUGGGCAACCUGCCCGCAAGACCGGGAUAACUCCGGGAAACCGGAGCUAAUACCGGAUAACACCGAAGACCGCAUGGUCUUUGGUUGAAAGGCGGCCUUUGGCUGUCACUUGCGGAUGGGCCCGCGGCGCAUUAGCUAGUUGGUGAGGUAACGGCUCACCAAGGCGACGAUGCGUAGCCGGCCUGAGAGGGUGACCGGCCACACUGGGACUGAGACACGGCCCAGACUCCUACGGGAGGCAGCAGUAGGGAAUCUUCCGCAAUGGGCGAAAGCCUGACGGAGCGACGCCGCGUGAGCGAAGAAGGCCUUCGGGUCGUAAAGCUCUGUUGUGAGGGACGAAGGAGCGCCGUUCGAAGAGGGCGGCGCGGUGACGGUACCUCACGAGGAAGCCCCGGCUAACUACGUGCCAGCAGCCGCGGUAAUACGUAGGGGGCGAGCGUUGUCCGGAAUUAUUGGGCGUAAAGCGCGCGCAGGCGGUUCCUUAAGUCUGAUGUGAAAGCCCACGGCUCAACCGUGGAGGGUCAUUGGAAACUGGGGGACUUGAGUGCAGGAGAGGAGAGCGGAAUUCCACGUGUAGCGGUGAAAUGCGUAGAGAUGUGGAGGAACACCAGUGGCGAAGGCGGCUCUCUGGCCUGCAACUGACGCUGAGGCGCGAAAGCGUGGGGAGCAAACAGGAUUAGAUACCUGGGGUAGUCC